This 155-nucleotide small RNA is filed under the name Arabidopsis thaliana (thale cress). Its description in RNAcentral is "ATSL206060". Lineage: Eukaryota; Viridiplantae; Streptophyta; Magnoliopsida; Brassicales; Brassicaceae. The record is from RNAcentral.
AUACCUUUUCAUAAUUUAUAGCAUUUCGAAUAACAAACAACAACAAACAACAACAAACCAUAACACUAAACAACAUACAAGAAACCCAACAAUCGAUGACCAAAUUUUUAUUCGGACAAAAUCAGAAGUCGCAAAAUAGUCGUAAAAAAGUAGCC